UCUCACUGUGGGUGUCUGUCCCCAUCCCCUGGGUCCCGCUGUCUGUCCAUCUGGUUCCAUGUUCCCACUCUCCUGUCUGUCCAUCCCUAGGUCCUAGUGUCUGUCCCCCCGUCUGUCCCCAGGUGUCACUGUGGGUGUCUGUCCCAUCCCCCGGGUCCCGCUGUCUGUCUUUCCAUCUGGUUCCAGGUUCCCACUCUCCUGUCUGUCCAUCCCUAGGUCCUAGUGUCUGUCCCCCUGGUCUGUCCCCAGGUGUCACUGUGGGUGUCUGUCCCGUCCCCUGGGUCCCGCUGUCUGUCUGUCCAUCUGGUUCCAGGUUCCCACUCUCCUGUCUGUCCAUCCCUAGGUCCUAGUGUCUGUCCCCCCGGUCUGUCCCCAGGUGUCACUGUGGGUGUCUAUCCCGUCCCCUGGGUCCCGCUGUCUGUCUGUCCAUCUGGCUCCAGGUUCCCACUCUCCUGUCUGUCCAUCCCUAGGUCCUAGUGUCUGUCCCCCCGGUCUGUCCCCAGGUGUCACUGUGGGUGUCUGUCCUGUCCCCCGGGUCCCGCUGUCUGUCUGUCCAUCUGGCUCCAGGUUCCCGCUCUGCUGUCUGUCCAUCCACCCUAGAGCCUAGUGUCUGUCCCCCCGGUCUGUCCCCAGGUGUCACUGUGGCUGUCUGUCCCGUCCCCCGGGUCCCGCUGUCUGUCUGUCC
This is a long non-coding RNA of Gopherus flavomarginatus (Mexican gopher tortoise), 685 nucleotides long. RefSeq lists it as uncharacterized. The record is from RefSeq and is a predicted model, not a curated record. NCBI's taxonomy places the organism in Eukaryota, Metazoa, Chordata, Testudines, Testudinidae. The transcript has 3 exons.